GACGAACGCUGGCGGCGUGCUUAACACAUGCAAGUCGAACGGAAAGGCCCUGCUUUUGUGGGGUGCUCGAGUGGCGAACGGGUGAGUAACACGUGAGUAACCUGCCCUUGACUUUGGGAUAACUUCAGGAAACUGGGGCUAAUACCGGAUAGGAGCUCCUGCUGCAUGGUGGGGGUUGGACAGUUUCGGCGGUUGGGGAUGGACUCGCGGCUGAUCAGCUUGUUGGUGGGGUAGUGGCUUACCAAGGCUUUGACGGGUAGCCGGCCUGAGAGGGUGACCGGGCACAUUGGGACUGAGAUACGGCCCAGACUCCUACGGGAGGCAGCAGUGGGGAAUAUUGCACAAUGGGCGGAAGCCUGAUGCAGCAGCGCCGCGUGCGGGAUGACGGCCUUCGGGUUGUAAACCGCUUUCGCCUGUGACGAAGCGUGAGUGACGGUAAUGGGUAAAGAAGCACCGGCUAACUACGUG
This 468-nucleotide ribosomal RNA is filed under the name uncultured bacterium. Its description in RNAcentral is "partial 16S ribosomal RNA". It matches the Rfam family "Bacterial small subunit ribosomal RNA", at positions 28 to 507 of the family's 1533-position model. The record is from RNAcentral.